Molecule: unclassified non-coding RNA, 827 nt
Filed under: Hevea brasiliensis (rubber tree)
Lineage: Eukaryota; Viridiplantae; Streptophyta; Magnoliopsida; Malpighiales; Euphorbiaceae
Source: RNAcentral
GAUUUUCAGCAAUAAAAAUUCUGUAGAGAAUUUUCUCUCAAUUUUCACUUUGUGUGUGAGUGUGUGUUUUCUUUGAGCUUCACGCUGCAUCAUGUUCAAUUUCACAUUUUCAUCAUUAUAACAAACUUACUAGAAUUAACAACUAAAAUAAGAAGGAAACCCAUUUAGGGGUGCGGUGGGAAUGAAGCAAAAUGAAAAUGGAAAAUCCGGCACUUCAUUGUCAAAUUAUAUAGCCACCACUAUGCUCUUCAAACUUAGUAUGUCUUGAUGUUCAAACUUCCAAAAUCUCAUCACUAGUUAUAGGGUCACAGGAAUUCUAUUUUAUUUUAUUUAUUUAUCCUGUUUCUUGGCCUCCUUAUUUUUACAAGGAUCCUAAGACCUUUUCUAUUUUAAAAAAUUAAUGGCUUUUGGUAGUGAUAAUAGUAGAAAUAAAGAUGAUGACGAUGAUAACCGAGAGUAAGAAGAGAGACAUAUUCAAUCCACAGGUUGAUCUAACUCAACACACAAUACACUAGGGUUAGGAUUAGUACAUAUGGAACCAAAUCUAAAGACAACAGAUACUUGAAUGACCUAAAUUUGAAAUGCCCAGCCCAAUCAACAUAUGUAAUUAGAACAUCACAUAUAUCAUUAUCAUACAAAAGACAGUAAAAGCAAAUGAAAAUCACAAAUGGAAAAAAACGAGUGUUGGGUAGUGAAGAAACGACACAUUCCAAUAUUGCAUCGCAAAUAUUAGAGAGAACUAAAAUGGAUGUGAGGAUAUGCAAAGAUAAAAUCCAUAUGUAACGCAUUCAUAGGAAGGUGGAAGUGGCAACUAACAUGCACACAUG